RNAcentral lists this ribosomal RNA (851 nucleotides) under Candidatus Woesebacteria bacterium. RNAcentral's name for it is "partial 23S ribosomal RNA". It matches the Rfam family "Bacterial large subunit ribosomal RNA", at positions 2057 to 2925 of the family's 2925-position model. Lineage: Bacteria; Candidatus Woeseibacteriota. The record is from RNAcentral.
AGACGCGGCCUAAUCCCACUUGGACAAAAAGACCCCGUGGAGCUUUACUGUAGUUUGACAUUGUCUUGACAAUUUUUGAUCGUCUAGUAUAGGAGGGAGCCGCAAGGCAAUAGUGUAAUACCUCUCGUUAGAGAUUGUUGGACUUACUCAUUUCCCCUAAAGACGGGGAAGGGAAUAGUGCUAGAUGGGCAGUUUUACUGGGGCGGUACCCUGCCAAAGAGUAACGCAGGGGCACAAAGGUUGGCUUGUUACGGAUGGAAACCGUAAUGUAACUGCAAAGAGAUAAGCCAGCUUGACUGCAACACCGAAGGGUGAAGCAGGUACGAAAGUAGGUCUUAGUGAUCCCCCGAUCCUUCAUGGGAGGGACGGGGCUUAACUGAUAAAAGCUACGCCGGGGAUAACAGAGUAGUCGCGCCCGAGAGUCCAUAUCGACGGCGCGGUUCGCUACCUCGAUGUCGGCUCAUCACAUCCUGGGGGUGAAGAAUCUCCCAAGGGUUGGUCUGUUCGCCCAUUAAAGUGAUACGCGAGCUGGGUUCAGAACGUCGUGAGACAGUUCGGACUCUAUCCAGUGGGAUCGUUCGAGUUUUGAUAGGAGCUCUUCUCAGUACGAGAGGACCAGAAGGGGGGAAUCCCUGGUGUGCCGGUUGUGUCAUCAGACGCAGCGCCGGGUAGCUAUAUUCCUCAUUGAUAACCGCUGAAAGCAUCUAAGCGGGAAGCAUACCCAAAGAUUAGAACUCGUUGUUCGAAAGAACGUGAGACCCCCGAGAGAAUAUCGGGUAUAACCGGCUAGCAGUGGAAGCGCCGUAAGGCGUUAAGCUUAUUAGUACGGAUUGGUCGAAGAAAACCAUGCA